UUUUUUUACAUUUUCCUAUUUAAUGGAGUAAAAAAUAUUAAGUUUAUUAAAGGUAUGCCUCUUCAAUUUUUUAAAUUUCAGUAGUAUCUGUUGUAAUGUGCCCCUUUUCAUCUCUAAUUUUGUUUUGGGUUACUCUGUUGGUUAGGAUUCUUUUUCAAUCAAUAUUGUUUCUCUUUAAAGAACUAAUUCAUCUUUGUUUUUGUUUCUUUAUCAUUAAUUUCUGCCUUAAUCUUGGUGGUUUAUUUCCAUUUACUGCUUUUGGGUUUGAUUUGCUCUUUUUGGAGGCAUUAUUAUUAUUAUUAUUAUUUUAGGUACUUAGAACCAUAAAUGUCCUUUCUAGGACUAUCUUUUGCAUCCCAUAGGUUUUGGUAUAUUGUAUUUGUAUUUCCAUCCAAUUCUAGCAACUUACUCAUCCAAUACCAUAAUGUUUAAUAUUAAGAGUGUUUUUCUUUUUUUCUUUUUUCUUUUUUGUAGUUUUCUUGCUUUUGACUUCUAGCUUUAUUUUACUGUGGUCAGAUAGAAUACAAGAAGUUAUUUGAAUUUUCCUUUGUUUAUUGAGAAUUGCUUUAUGGAGUAAUAUAUAAUCUAUUUUAGACAAAGUACCAUAAACUGUUGAGAAGAAUGUAUAUUCUGUAAUUCUUGGAAUGUUUUAUAGAUAUUUGUUAUAUCCCUGUAUAUAUUUAAAUAUUAUUUACAUGCAUGUGCGUAGUGUGUGAGAGCAUGUAAUGCUUGUGGGUCUAGCAGAAGCCAGGAGGGAAUGUGGACGUAAGGCAGCUGUGAACCACCUGUCAUAGGUGCUGGACUGAACUCAGAGCCUCUUGGAAGAGGUGCUCAUAAACCGUGAAGCCAUCUCUCUAGCCUGUUAUCUUACUUUAUGCGUGAAUGUUUCGCCUGAAUGCAUACAUGUGCACCAGUGUGUGCCCUUGGAGGCCAGAAGGCUGGUUGUAAGCCACCACAUGGGUGGUGGGAACCAACCUAGAUCUUCUGCCAGAAAAGCAUGUACUUUUAAGUGCUGAACCAUCUCCUCAGCCCAAUGUUUAGUAAUAUUGAUGAAACUGGGUAGACCUGUGUUCAGUGCAUAUAUGUUUAGACUAUCAUUUCUUCCAAAAAGAUUGUUCCCCUAACCAUUAGCCACUAAACUUUAUUCUGGCUAGUUAGUAUUUGAUGUCUAUUCUGUCAGACAAUAGAAUAAAGAUAUUUGCUUGUUUCCUGGUUCCCUUUGCCUGGAAUACCUUUCUCUAGUGGUUUCCCUACAAUAGUUUAUUUUUAAUAGUGAGGUGAGUUUAUAGGAGGCAAUAAAUUGAUGGGCCUUGUUUUAGAUCCAAUUUGUUAGUCUAUAUCUUUCAAUUGGGAAAUUGAGGCCAUUAAUAUUCAAAAUUAUUAUUGAAAAGUGUAUAAUAAUUCCUGUCAUUUGAUUUUGUAGUUUUUUUUUUCCUACUCUUAAUUUACAUUACUUUCUAGCAUCAUUUAUUUAUUUUUUUUCCCCUAUAGCCUCUCUGGUGUGUUUGUUCUAUUAAGUCUGAAGAAUUCCUCCUAGUGGCCUCUGUAGGGUUGGCUUAGUUCUUUCUCUAGCCUACCUUUAUCAUGGAAGGACAUUUGCCAUCAAUCAUGAUGGAUAGUUAUGCUGAGAAUAAUGGCAGCUGUGGUCUUUCGGAACUUUCCAUGUUUAUUGAAAAAUCACCAGUUAUUCUGAUGGGCUUGUCUUCAUGAAUGACUUGUUUCUCCAUAAUGAUACAGGUUUUGUAGGGCAUACCCUCAAGAUGUCCUUAAAUCUGCUCUGAUGGUUGUGCUUGGCCAUGUUCCCUGCUGUGGCAGUGAGGAGCAAGUCGUGGGAUUUCACAAAACUCCCAAAGGGGCUGCGACCCACAGGUUGAGAACUGGUGCUCUAGAGGCUAGAAGAAAGUAUUGGCCCCCCCCCCCCCCGGAACUGAAGUUCUAGAAGUUGAAGCUGCCACAUGGGUGCUGGGAAUCUAGCCCCAGUCUUCUGGAAGAGCAGCCACUGCUCUUAACUGUGGAACCAUCUCUCCAGCUGCUUCAAUAACUUUGUGAACCAAUACGAAGACACCAAAUAUUCAUCAAGGAAUGAACCACCUGCCUUCCUUGGUCCUGAGUAGAAACUGUGUAUAGGACAUUAUUUUAUAGGCAAGAGGUCUUUUUGAGAGGGACCUAGAUCUUUGGUCUACCCAGGAGACAAUAGUAGAAAGAGAUAUGUAAAUUCACACUACAACCAAGUUAUGUUUGAGAGUGCUAAGGAAAGGGAAAGAUGAUUUCAGCUGGGAACGUGAGGCUAUGAUGGUAUGUUCAUAUGUACGUGGGUGGCUGAAAGUGCACAUCUGUACAAGCAUGUAGAGGGUAGAGGUUGACGUCAGGUGUCUUUCCUGAGUGCUCUCCACUAUUUACUGACAAACAAAGCUCUCACUGAUUCAGCUAGUCUACUUAGCUACCUGGCCCCAAGAGUCCUUUGUCACUGUCUCCUGAGCACUAAAAUUACAGGUGGGGCCCCCGGACCUUGGCUUUUAGUGCUGGACAUCUGAACUCUGGUCCUCAAGCCUGCAUGGAAUGGCUUUAUCUACUGAGCCACCUCUCCAGACCCACCAUCUGCUAUUUCUUCCUUUUUUAACUUACUACAGAACUAGUGCAGAAUAAAAGAACUAACAUUUGGAGAAUCUAUUGCACAUUCUGUAAAUACUCACCAAUUGUAUUUCUCUGUCCUGGGAAGAGUAUCUUGCCCUUACCUUUAUGUGGGUAACAGCUCUUCCCCUGAUACAGUGUGCCCAUGGAGUCUGUGCCUCUGCUUUCCUAGACUGAGCUCUACGAGGACAGAGGCACUCUAACUUCCUACUGUGUCUAGGCUGGCUCAGUUUUCUAGGUAUACACCACCUUCCUCCCAAGCUUCGAACACGUGUUUACAUCUCGACACAACAAAAAUUUACCUGGUAGGGUUCCGUUUAUCUUCCUCAGAAAUCAAAAACCAAACAAAAUCUGCAUAGCUCAUUCUUCCCUCUUUUUGCACUGUUUUUCCUCUGAAGAAAAGACAUGGUUAUAACAUUUCCUGAGCAAUUAAGAAAUAAAGUAACAUCUUUAGAAAUUUACUAAAUUAAAAAAAUGAUGAAUUCCUCAUAAAGCUGGUAGUUCAGAAAGUACAACCUCUUUGAGGCUUAUUUUCAAGGGCCUAAAGGUAGAACUGGAAGGCAUUUGCCUCAGUGAAAAAAAAAAAAAAGACAAGUUAUGGUACUAGAGUUUGAACUUAAAGCCUAAUGCAGGGUAGCACUCUACCACCAAGUAACAUCCUUACCCUUCUUUUUACUUUUAAUUUAUUAUUUAGUUAACUAAUAUUUCUGAGACAGGGUCUCACUAUGUAGCCUUUAGUGGCUGGAACUAAAAAUACUGACCAAACUGAUCUUGAGCUCACAGAGACCCACUUGCCUGUGUCUCCGUGGCUAGGAUUAAAGGCAUGUACCAUCAUGUCCAGCUUACUUUUAGUUUUUUUGAAACAAGGUCGUAUUAAAUUGCCUAGGCAGGUCUUGAACUGACUCUGUGGCCCAAGAAAGCUUCAGUUUAAGUCUUCUGCCUUAGCUUACUGGGGAUUAUAGGCCCAUGCCACUAGGUCUAGCCCUAGUUUCCAUUUGAUAAUCAAUGGCAUGAGAUAUUGUUACUUACAUAUAGACAGUGGACUAAUAUUAAGGAAUCACUGUCUUUUAUUAAGCCAAAACUGUAUGCUUUUUAGAUAUAAUUUGACUUAGUAGCCCUGCAAGAUUAUGCAGAAGCUUUUCUAAAAUGAUAUUACUGCAGUAGUAUAGUUCAUUUUGCAACUCAAGUAUUAUUUCAUUUUUAUUAAUUUUUUGCUAGCCCACUAAAGAAAAUUCAAACUUUAAACUUUUCGUACCUUGUUACUGCUCCAGAAAAUAUUCUUUCAAUAAUUCUAUUGGAUGAAGCUAAAUGUAAAUAAGAAUUACAGUUAGUUAGAAAUACUCCUGACAAAUUUGUUUUUAUUUGCUAAAGCUAAGCCUAAACCAUAAUAAUCUUCCACAGUGAGAAUAUCAGUAGUUAAAUUCUUUUCUUUUUUUGAGACAGGGUUUAAUGUAUCCCAGGGUAAAGUCUAUCCUGAUAUAUAACGGAGUUAUAUCUUGAUAUAACUUGAUAUAUAACUUGAACUUCUGACCCUCCUGCCUCCACUUUGAGUGCUGGCAUUAUAGCUGUGCACAGUGGUGCACAGCCUAUGCUGGGCAUCAAACCCAGGCCUGUAUAUAUGCCAGCCAAGCACUCCGCCAACUCAGCUACAUCCUAACCCCUAAAUUCUUAAGAACAUAUAUGUGAGUGUGUGUCCAUUAAAAUCUAUUCAUUAGGGGCUGGAGAGAUGGCUCAGAGGUUAAGAGCACUGGCUGCUCUUCCAGGUCAUGAGUUCAAUUCCCAGCAACCACACGGUGGCUCAUAACCAUCUAUAAUGAGAUCUGGUACUCUUUUUCUGGCAUGCAGGUCUACAUGCAGAUAGAACGUUGUAUACAUAAUAAAUAAAUAAAUCUUUAAAAAAUUAUUCAUUGAAAACUUCAUACCUUUAUACAAUGCAUUUUGAGCCUAUCCAUCCACAAUUACCU
Molecule: long non-coding RNA, 4595 nt
Organism: Meriones unguiculatus (Mongolian gerbil)
Lineage: Eukaryota; Metazoa; Chordata; Mammalia; Rodentia; Muridae
Exons: 2
Source: RefSeq, a predicted model, not a curated record